This 328-nucleotide unclassified non-coding RNA is filed under the name Hevea brasiliensis (rubber tree). The record is from RNAcentral. Lineage: Eukaryota; Viridiplantae; Streptophyta; Magnoliopsida; Malpighiales; Euphorbiaceae.
AUGAAAUGAUCUGUGCUGCUUAAUACAAACAAAACGACAACUACAGAAGAGAGACUAUCAUCAAUCAUCAAUAUUGUCAUUUGCCACCACUUAACAAAACGUGCAUCAUCCUCCUGCCUACCCAAAUGAAUUUUAUUUAUUAUUAAAAUGAAUUUUAUUAUUUUAUAAAUAAUUAAAGCAUCCAAUGAGAGAGAAAAGAAAAAGACAAAACGAAAAGUGGUUUUAAAGCUUGGGUGUCUGGGGGCGUGGACUUUUUACUGAAUUCCAGAUCCGCCAAACAAAUCCUUAAAAGAGAAGAGAGAACAAAGAAGAAAGAAAGAAAGAAAGA